AAACGUCUCUUGGUCCAAUCUGUAAAAUACAGCUUUUGAAAGGCCAAGUACGACAGAGCAUACCAUGUCGUAGCAUUUC
RNAcentral lists this unclassified non-coding RNA (79 nucleotides) under Schizosaccharomyces pombe (fission yeast). Its description in RNAcentral is "non-coding RNA (predicted)". Lineage: Eukaryota; Fungi; Ascomycota; Schizosaccharomycetes; Schizosaccharomycetales; Schizosaccharomycetaceae. The record is from RNAcentral.